Pan troglodytes (chimpanzee) is the source of this 3106-nucleotide long non-coding RNA. RefSeq lists it as uncharacterized. The transcript is spliced from 6 exons. The record is from RefSeq and is a predicted model, not a curated record. NCBI's taxonomy places the organism in Eukaryota, Metazoa, Chordata, Mammalia, Primates, Hominidae.
AAAGGUAUGUAGUUUGCUUACCAAGUUCUAAGGCCUUACUGAUUUCCAUCAACUUGUUCUAUCCAUUAUUGAGAGACGAGUGUUAUAGUCAGCAACUAUAAUUAGCCGUCUGUUCUCAGGCCAAGCUCGCUUCCUACUCUGCCAUAAGGUGAGCCACCUCUACCUGCCUGGAGAUCGACCUGCGGUCAUCCAGUUCCACCAGUGCCUGGCUGGAGCUAUAAGUUGGUGCUGUUUGCCAGGGUUGGUGUCUACAGAGGGCCAGGGGAAUUCCAAGCGAGGGAAGCAAGGAGAACUUCUUGGACUCCUCAAGUUCUACCAGAAGGCAGUGCUAUGGUGUGCCCAACCCUCCCAGGGGCCUAAAUGGCCACCCUCUUGGGAAUGCCCAAAGCAUCUGCUAUUUAGGACUUGGUUACAGAGCGCCAUCAGCUUCCCCAAGGGCUACCCUCCACCCAGCCACUGUCUAAAGAGCUUCAUUUAAAGGUUUGUUUUAUUUGCCACCAAACUGCCUGCCUACAACAUGUGGCACUCAGGACAUCCAGGUGUGUGCCGCAGGGCAUCAGGGAGAUAAAUUAUGCUUAUGUGCCUGGGACAACAGCCUCAACUGGUAAAUCAAGUCUGUUCUUUUUACCCUGAUGAUUUCCUUUUUAAAAUUCAUCUUGGAGGAAGUUGUGUGACAUUUAUUUUCCACCCUGGGCUCCUAGAUCACUCAGCUUUGAAUAACACCUGGCUACCUUGAGGACUGUGAGCCCUGCUGACCAUGGAAGUGGGAAAGGGAAAUAUUUCUGGUGAUGGCUCACCAGUUACAAUUGGCAAAGCAACCUUGAGAGGAUUAAAGUGACCCUUAGAGGAUGCGUGAGAGGUUAUGAUCAUCCCCAAAUAGGUGUGGCACCUGCUAUGAACAAGCUGUCAUGUUAAGUGCCCUGGGAAUAAAACACAGGUGCAAAAGUCUCUGCCCUCGAGGACCAUACGAAAAGACUGGCUGGAGAAAUAAUGAUGUAUAUGAGAGCAAUAGCCCUAACCAAGGUAACAUAUGAUAAAUACACAGGAGAUAUAUAGAAGAAAGCUCACUUCUGACAAGGCAGAUGUGGGAAAAAGAGGUUUGAGCUUCCCCCAGUCUCUCUUGACUCACUGUGUGAAUGAAUCAAUCUGUAAAUGGCCCUUGAGGGAUCUCUGGAUAAGAUUUCAACAGGUACAGAGGAGAAAUUAGGGCAUAUGGUUAGAAGGGAGAAAGAUAGGGUGGGGAGGGAAAAACCCAAGAUGUGACGAAUAGAAAACACGUUUUAUUUGGAGAGAGGAAGAGCUUGAGCACACACGUAGACAAGACUAUGGCGGAGGGCUCAUUUAGGGAGCUAGUGGAUGGAAAGCCUGGAAGGUAGAUUAAAUGACCCAUCUCAAGGGUCAUGGGGAGCCAUUGGCAUUUUGUUAGAUUAGUAAGAGUGACACCCAAUUUGUUCUUUGGGAAUAUUAUUGUGGUAGAGCAUGGGUUGGUGGAGGAAGAAAUUAGAGAAAGGAAACCAGUUGGGCAGCUAUUGCAAUAGCCAGGCAAAGACUAAUGAAGGCCUGAUGAGGGCUGUGGUGAUGAGAAUGGGAGAGAGGCAAAGGAUGAAAGAGGUAUUUUGGAAAUACAGUGGCCAUAGCCCGGCAGCUAGUUGGAUAUAGAGGGCCAGAGAGAGAACUGGAAGAUGAACUUAAUGUGAUAGAGAGGGGAGGUGCCACCAACCAAGGCUGAGUUGCUGGUUUUGAGGGAAUGUUUGGGAGUGUCCUUCAUGUAUGUAUGGGUUUAAGCAAAAUGAAACCUGUUUUUAUGGAACCAUUCUUCCCUGGCUAUGCCUGGAGGAAUAGGGGUGCUGAUCCAACUAUUGACAUCAGGUGGAAUUAGGAUUUCAGGGAACAAACACAUUUUAGGAACUGCUAGGGUGGAGGCUCUGGGGUCUGUCUCAGGACUAACAUUCUCUGCUAUUUUCAGAGACUCAUACAGCUGCAAUUUUCUUAUAAUAAGAGACUCAGAGACCUUAGGAAGGAAGGCUUGGAAGAGUGCUUAACACACCACUCAGCAUCACUAUUAAGACUUGAGAAAUGAGCACUUGCACCACUUUCACUCCUGUGCUUGCCAACUCCCUGCCCAGGGCCCUCUGAUUUUGCAGAUUCUUUUCCUGGAGCCAUUCAUUAAAGCCACAGUCAAGAAUUUACCAGUCCUAUGGCCCUUGCCCCAGGGCCCUGAUCUCUGUUAGAUGGCGGCUAGCUAAGCAGUUCGGUCAUGACUUCUCUGUUCAACAAAUAGUCAUUGAAUGCCAACCAAGGCCAGGCCCUGUUCUAGGCACUCUUUACUGCUGAGAUUCUUGCAGCAAACCAAACAGACAGAAUCCCUGCCCUCAUAGACCAGCAUUCUAGGAGUGGAAGCAAACCACCAAUAAAAUAAAUAAGCAAAAAUAUGUUCGACAGUGGUAAGUGUUGUGGAGUAAAAUAAAACAAGGAAGAGGCUAGGAAUUGCUGGGUGAGGAAGCUGCUUAAAUAAGGUGGUUAGGACAGCUUCACUAAGAAAAUGACAUUUGAAGAAAGAUUUGAAAAAGAGGAGGGGGUGAGCCAUGUCUUUACCAGGGAAGAGUGUUCCAGUUGGAGGGAACAGCAAAUGCAAAAACCCUGAGUUGGGGUGCAUGCCUGGAGCAUUUGAACAGUUGCAAAGAUGCCAGCAGGGAUGGAGCAGAAGGAAGGAGAGAAAGUAGAGCAGGAGACCCGGAAAGUAAUGCAAGGCUUCGUUCAAAUGGACAUCCCAUCUUGGUAACCACAUCCUAUCUAGGAUCUUCUGAAGAUGGUGCCUGAAUCCUAUACAGUGGCCCUAAUGGAUGGAAUUUGGAAAGUGAUGUAUUUGACCAUCCUUUACUUUUGGGUAGGGCUUGCUCUGCAAAGAGUCAAGUGAAUGUCCAAGCACAGGAAGAAAGAAAGGUUUCUGGACAGAAAACAUCAAAGCUCUUGUUCCAUUUGGUAGAGCUGACACCGUGAUGGCGCCUCCCCGCCUGUGCUAUUGUGGCUGGCAGGAGGCCUGGGUCUUCCUAGCAGCCUCCUCAAAGCUGAUUCAUAUCAGUAUUACUCAACGUGUAUAGAUUCU